GUUAGGCUACCUGCUCUGCAGUCACUGUGUCUCUGCUUUCCUGUCUUCUAGAAUGGCUCUUCUCCCGCUCCCAUUGCAGUACAUGAUCACUGUGUGCAGCCAGGAGGCAUGCAUGGCUCAGACCGAGGGAGAGACCCAGAGCGGGGAGCCCAGCUCUGAUGAGAAACAUCGACGGUUAACGCUUCCUGGACGCUUAGUAGGUGACAGACCCUCACUGUCCUUAGUGCUCCACGCUUCUCGCAUCUAAUCCCCACAACACUCUGACGUGGUAGGCUCAUCGCCUCGACCUUCUCCAUCCGCCCUCCACCCCCACCAGCAAGCAGUCAAGCUGAGCCCUAAGCCUCCGGGAGAGAUACCAGCCUGCUCCCCUGAACUCGGCCGAAGAAGGCACUCGAUUCCCUGUCCUCUGCCACCCCCACCCCAGCUUCCCAAGCUCAAUUAUGGCAGCUCUCUGCUCACCCAGUUACUCAGGCCAAGAACCUUGCCUUCAUCUUCUCUUUCUCUCUCACCUCAUGUCCUACCGAUCAGCAAAAUCUGUGAGCUCUCUUUAUUUUUUAAUUAUUUAUUUUUAAAGACUUUAGUUAUUUAUUUGACAGAGAGAGGGAGACAGUGAGAGAGGGAACACACGCAGGGGGAGCAGGAGAGGG
Zalophus californianus (California sea lion) is the source of this 647-nucleotide long non-coding RNA. RefSeq lists it as uncharacterized. The record is from RefSeq and is a predicted model, not a curated record. The transcript is spliced from 3 exons. NCBI's taxonomy places the organism in Eukaryota, Metazoa, Chordata, Mammalia, Carnivora, Otariidae.